UUGGAAAGCAUCUCCAUUGAGAGAGAGAUUUAAACUCUCCGGGAAUUCCUUUUCCCGCCUUCAUUGCAUUCUACUGCAAUUGUUGUCGAAAGCUAGAAGACAGACAAUCUUCUUGAGCUUCAGCAGCUAUGCCUCGGCACCGAAGGUCCCUACAAACCUAGGAAAUGAUGAAGAAGAUCACAUUGAAACGAUCUUAAGGAAAGAUAUGUCAGACUCUUGAGCUUCGUGAGUUUCAACCACCAUGCCUCAGCCCCAAUGGCCCCUACGAACCCAACAAAUGACACUACUUGUACUAUUUUGGUUUGUUUAUGUAUUGAUGCAAAUAAGAUAAUUCCAAACAACCUCUAAUUGUUAAAUGUUGUUUAGGCAAAAGAGGAGCUUACAGACAGCAGCCAAGACAGUUAAGGAUUUGGAAAGCAUCUCCAUUGAACAGAUCUUGAGAGAGAUUUAAACUCUCCGGGAAUUCCUUUUCCCGCCUUCAUUGCAUUCUACAAACCUAGGUAAGAUG
Impatiens glandulifera is the source of this 508-nucleotide long non-coding RNA. RefSeq lists it as uncharacterized. The record is from RefSeq and is a predicted model, not a curated record. Lineage: Eukaryota; Viridiplantae; Streptophyta; Magnoliopsida; Ericales; Balsaminaceae. The transcript is spliced from 2 exons.